GGAUUAGAUACCCGGGUAGUCCACGCCGUAAACGAUGGAUACUAGCUGUUGGAGGUAUCGACCCCUUCAGUAGCGAAGCUAACGCGUUAAGUAUCCCGCCUGUGGAGUACGGCCGCAAGGCUAAAACAUAAAGGAAUUGACGGGGACCCGCACAAGCGGUGGAUCGUGUUCUUUAAUUCGAUGAUAAACGAAGAACCUUACCAGGGCUUGACAUCCAGGGAAGGUCUGCGAAAGCGGACUGUGCCUUUUGGAACCCUGUGACAGGUGCUGCAUGGCCGUCGUCAGCUCGUGUCGUGAGAUGUUUGGUUAAGUCCAUCAACGAGCGCAACCCUUGCAACUAGUUGGAUUUUUCUAGUUGGACUGCCCCGGUAACGGGGAGGAAGGAGGGGAUGAUGUCAGGUCAGUAUUGCCCUUACGUCCUGGGCUAGAAACACGAUACAAUGGCUAGUACAAUGCGCAGCGAAGCCGCGAGGUGGAGCAAAUCGCAUCAAAGCUAGUCCCAGUUCGGAUUGGAGGCUGAAACUCGCCUCCAUGAAGUCGGAAUCGCUAGUAAUCGCAAAUCAGCAAGUUGCGGUGAAUACGUUCCCGGGUCUUGUACACACCGCCCGUCAAACCAUGAAAGUGACCAACACCCGAAGUCCGAUUCGUCGGCCUAAGGUGGGGGGCAUGAUUGGGGUU
Molecule: ribosomal RNA, 678 nt
Filed under: uncultured Candidatus Saccharibacteria bacterium
Lineage: Bacteria; Candidatus Saccharimonadota
Description: bacterial SSU rRNA
Rfam family: Bacterial small subunit ribosomal RNA
Source: RNAcentral